RNAcentral lists this long non-coding RNA (250 nucleotides) under Brassica napus (rape). RNAcentral's name for it is "long non-coding RNA (BNAP_LNC021663)". The record is from RNAcentral. Lineage: Eukaryota; Viridiplantae; Streptophyta; Magnoliopsida; Brassicales; Brassicaceae.
CUUCUCCGCUAUGUUAGACAUGCUGUAAAGAACAAACCCGAUACUUGAAUGCACAAAUUCCUUCUUCGCACGUGCACAUGAACAUACUUCUACUUUUAUUUUCACGCACAAUAGAACGCUAAUCUUGUCCGAGUCUCUUCGAACCCCUUACCAAAAAUCCAAUUUUGUCGGUUACCCUUAUUCAUGCCAGAAUAUUAUGCCUCACAAAACAUGUAACUUCCCAUUAUUUCUUCUUAAGACCUCUCCCUCU